RNAcentral lists this microRNA (22 nucleotides) under Echinops telfairi (small Madagascar hedgehog). Its description in RNAcentral is "Ete-Novel-3_3p* (star (passenger))". Lineage: Eukaryota; Metazoa; Chordata; Mammalia; Afrosoricida; Tenrecidae. The record is from RNAcentral.
AAAGUGCUGACAUUUCGAGGAU